AUGCCGCGUGCAGGAAGACUGCCCUAUGGGUUGUAAACUGCUUUUAUACAGGAAGAAUAAGCCUUACGUGUAAGGUGAUGACGGUACUGUAAGAAUAAGGACCGGCUAACUCCGUGCCAGCAGCCGCGGUAAUACGGAGGGUCCGAGCGUUAUCCGGAAUUAUUGGGUUUAAAGGGUCCGUAGGCGGAUGAUUAAGUCAGGGGUGAAAGUUUGCAGCUCAACUGUAAAAUUGCCUUUGAUACUGGUCAUCUUGAGUUGUAUUGAAGUAGGCGGAAUAUGUAGUGUAGCGGUGAAAUGCAUAGAUAUUACAUAGAACACCAAUUGCGAAGGCAGCUUACUAAGUACUAACUGACGCUGAUGGACGAAAGCGUGGGUAGCGAACAGGAUUAGAUACCCUGGUAGUCCACGCCGUAAACGAUGGAUACUAGCUGUUCGGGGCCUUGAGCUCUGAGCGGCUAAGCGAAAGUGAUAAGUAUCCCACCUGGGGAGUACGUUCGCAAGAAUGAAACUCAAAGGAAUUGACGGGGGCCCGCACAAGCGGUGGAGCAUGUGGUUUAAUUCGAUGAUACGCGAGGAACCUUACCAGGGCUUAAAUGUAGUCUGACAGCUUUAGAGAUAGAGUUUUCUUCGGACAGAUUACAAGGUGCUGCAUGGUUGUCGUCAGCUCGUGCCGUGAGGUGUCAGGUUAAGUCCUAUAACGAGCGCAACCCCUGUCGUUAGUUGCCAGCAUGUCAUGAUGGGGACUCUAACGAGACUGCCGGUGCAAACCGCGAGGAAGGUGGGGAUGACGUCAAAUCAUCACGGCCCUUACGUCCUGGGCCACACACGUGCUACAAUGGCCGGUACAGAGAGCAGCCACGUCGCAAGGCGGAGCGAAUCUAUAAAACCGGUCA
This 893-nucleotide ribosomal RNA is filed under the name marine metagenome. Its description in RNAcentral is "bacterial SSU rRNA". It matches the Rfam family "Bacterial small subunit ribosomal RNA", at positions 394 to 1288 of the family's 1533-position model. The record is from RNAcentral.